GAAUGGUUGAAUGAGGAUGAGGAGCAUGCAAUCUUGGAUGGAGUUGAUGCUGCUAGCGCCGUGUUUGAGAAAAUAUGUUUGCUUAACUCAAGUAGGAAAGUUUCUCAUCUUGCAAGGAAGGACAAUGGCAGGAAAAGAAAGAGGGUAGAGGAAGAAGUGGAUGACUACCAUGAUAGUGAGGAUGAUGAAGAAGAAAAUGAGGAGCUGGACCUGGAAAUUGAUGAUGAUGAUGAUAGCCAUGAUGAUGGUGCAAGUCAAUCUGAUAGAGGAUUCGCCAAUGCAAAUUGAAAAGGAUUUAACAAGCCAAGUUGGAAACAAUGUUGAGGUAACAAGUGAUGGUAGUUUGGUGAACCGUAGAUCUGAACGGGUUAGGCAAGCCAAGAAGGUCAAGGAGGUCACCAGCCUUUACAAUUGACAAGUAAGUUCCUUGUGAUGACAUCAAUAAUUUCCCAUUUAUGCACUUUCUUAUAUCCUGUCAUUAACAUGUGGUGUUUGCUUUAGUCCAUAUGAUUUUAUAUGUUGUUUCAAUUGGGGUUGCCAUCUAUUAACUGUUGUUUCUGCCAUCUACUUGAUGUUUUUAUAAUUCACAAUGCGUUAGUCCAUAUGAUUCUAUAUGGUGUUUCAAUUGGGGCUGCCAUCUAUGAGUUAUUGCUGCCAUCUACUUGUAAUGUUUAUAUAAUUCACAAUGCUUUAGUCCAUCUGAAUUUAUAUGUUGUUUUAAUUUGGGCUGUCAUCUAUGAGUUGUUUCUGCCAUCUACUUGUAAUACUUAUAUAAUUCACAUUGUUUCUGCCCAUAUGAUUUUAUAUGUUGUUCCAAUUGCAGUUGCCAUCAUUGAGUUGUUGGUUCUGCCAUCUACUUGUAAUGUUUAUAUAAUUCACAAUGCUUUAAUUGCAAGGUUAAGCGGCAUGGGAGCAAAAGAGCUUUUGGUUUGAUGAAGACUAACGGGUGGAUGAACAGGAAGUCCGAAGUGAAGGUCUCUGUUCGAUUCAAUACUUUUGGUGCAAGACUGAAGAGUUGAAGAACAGGAAGUCUGAAUUGAACUUUUUGUUUGUAUUUUGGGGUCGACAUAAUUGAACUUUGAAUGUCGUGUUAAAUUCAUUGUGGACUGUAAUUCUGAACCUUAUGGGUGUUCGUUUCGACUCUUGGUAGAAUUAUUAAGUCGCAUGUUACUCUUAGUAUCUGAACUAUCAAGUCACAUGUUAAUCUGGACUAUCAUGUUGCUUUUCUAGUGGUUGCUGCUCUCCGAAUUGAUCCACUAUGCUAUUAUCUGAAUGGUUGCAACUGGAGUGUUGAUGUUUAGUCUGAUACGUAGUGAUUUGAUGAAUAGAUUCAGCUGUUUGAUUUUUACAUGCAUAUUUUGCUAAAAGUUCUGAAUACUCAUCUGUUGUUCUGUUGUAUUUCAAAAUUUUAGGCAAAUUUCGCCCAUUUUUCGUUCAUUUUUCGUUCAGUUUUCGUCCCAAAAUUCAAAUUUUGUUUUAUGAUUUUCGUCCGAGAUUUUCCGAAAAAAUCCGAAAAAUCCGAAUUUCGCCCAUUUCGUCAAGGACCGGUAAAAAUCAAAAAACGAAAUCCGAAAUUCUGCCAUGGACGAUAUCUAAUAGAAUAAAAUGCUGAUAUUGACUGCUCCCUUGCUCUUGAUUAUCUUUCUUGUUGAUGAAAAAUGUCACUAUAUUUGUGCUUUGCUGAUAUUUAAGUUCUGUUUGAUUUGUUCCCUUUUCUGAACGUCGUAAUAAGUAGCUACUGUGUCGUUUUGCUACCUGUAGGUUCUUGCUUCAGUUUUACGCCCUGCUGGUGGUAGUCUGCUGAGUUCUUUUGCUCUAGUUUGCUUAGGCAUCCCUGAUGUGGUUGUAUGUCAGGGCUGUGAGAUUAUUUCUGCUUAUCCAUAGCACGCCAUUUUCUUAAUGAAAACGGGAGCCAAGUGGCCCGUUCUAUCCUUUCUGCCUCCACGGAAGAUGACACAACUUUGGCUCAGCCAGAGAACCUAUGUCACAACUUUCUGAUUUUUUUGUUGUUUCUUUUCUGAGGCUACGCGAUGGUAUGAAUUCAUGACUGUCAAAUGCUUAGAAUCAAGAAAUAGUUGUCGAUGAUAUUGACUGCUUCCUUGGCUGUUAACUAUAUUUCUAGAUAUGGUGCGGAUUACAUAUAUUUGUUUCUUGUAAAAAAAAUUCUUCGAGAAAACGCAGAAGACCUUUGCGUUUCAUUUCAUUGGAAAGGUAGGAAGUCAGUUACAGCCGUCCUAGGACGAACAAUCGAGGAUCGGGUACAACACUCAGUGCACAUCCCAUGAAGUGGGUAGGACACUAGGACUACUCUAAGGCCUGCUGCUCUGGCCUUUGCCCAGGAGCAGGCUUCCUCCUUGAUCCUGUCCACUAGCGUGCCUAGGUAGGGCGUCGCGUUGUCGAAGACGCAACUAUUCCUAUGGUUCCAGACCAAACAUGGUACGACUAGUGCGACGGAUUGCAGGGCCUUGCGUUGUGCUUGUCAAAUUUAGAUGUUUUCUUUUAAUCAAUUGGUUGAUGAGUUUACUUUAGCAGUUUUGUUACAAGUAUUUUUUUGCAUGUAACAUGUUUUACACAUUUCCUUUUGACGCUCAUGAAUGUCUGAUCUGUUAGACUGUUAUUGACUGCAUGCAUGGCUUGUGCUUCAGAUGUACGACUGUGGCAACUUAGGUCCAAUUGGCCCAUUGCCAUUGAGAGUGAUGAUGAUGAUUUGGUUACCCUCAAAAGUUGCCUGAGAGCUGAGAUUUGGAAGUACUACACUACAUGAAAUGGCAAGACUAGUCGGAUGUUAAAGCAACUGGUGCGUUUUGUUUGUAGAGAGUAUUGGAACACCCACACUACGGAGAUGUUGGAAGCACUCCAAUCUUGUGAGCACCGUCCUAACCUAUGUGCUCCUUCCUGUCCGAAUUAAUUGAUGCAAAUUCUAUACAAUGUAAAGUGGACAUUGGUAUAGAGGCUGACUCAAUUAAUUCGGAUAGGAUGGAGUAAUAAUUUUUUAUCAGCAAACAAUCAAUGCUUAGCUUUUGAUUCAUUCCUGAUAUGGUAUCAUACUGGAUGGUGAAACACUUUGCAUUUGUUAGUGAUGGUAUGUCUGUGUGGAUGAACCAUAAAGCUAGGAGUCGCUAUUAGUGCUGAACCGAAAAAUUGGAGAAUACAUUUUUGUUUGCUUGUACCAAGUCCACACCUGACUUUGCUUUAGAGCCUGUUUGGCACCACUUUUUAGUGCUGUCAGUUUUAUUUAUUUUUGCUAGGGGUCAUCAUCAAUUGAUUAGUCCUAAAGUCACAAAGUAGUGCUUUUUUGGAUGCUGACAGUGUCCAGAACACAAAUUUGACCACAAGUUUGUACUGCAUUAUAUUUGUAAAAUCUCCCAAAAAUAUAGUAUGGCAAGCGUAUCUUAUUAGAUAGUCUACCAAUAUUUAUAUUCUUAUGUCCAAUUUAAAUUAUCAUAAAAGGAUUAUUGAUCACAGGUAAAUAGUUCUUCAAUGUAAUUUUGAUUCCCUGCACAUUAUGCUCUUGGGUUUGGCACCACCAUGGCUUAUGUUCAGGUUUUGACUGUCCAGAGUAUGAUAGUACACUUGGUUUUAGAGUUUGAUAAAGAACUGUGGUUCUCGAAGUUACUUCGUUGUUUCUAGUUGUUACUGUCUAUAGUAGACGAUAUUAAAGUCCCUUUUUUUACAAAGGCAAGUGUAGGUGAUGUGCAAUGUGUUUCUUAGAUGGUAAUGAAUGCUCUCUUCCUGAACUUGUAGUUUUGGCUGCCGUUGAAUGUGAGUAUGUUUUGCUGGGUGGUGCUAGCUCUUAUCUAGUUUAGCAUUCAAGUGAUGUAUGUCUCUUUGAAACUUGAGGUCCUGGUUCUUUACAGGACACUAAAGGAGAGGUGCAUCGAUGGUCCGUGAUGUUCAGACUCAAGAUCUUCCUGAAGGAGGACGGUGUGGUGAACCCCGAGACCAUCAUCGUGUGUGAUGAGUGGCCAUGGUGGAUCAGAUUCAUUAGCAUAGUUUGUUUGUUGUGGUGUUGGAUUAGCUUCUUCUUUUGAGAAUUUUUUUUGGUAAGAUGAUUUGGAGUGCACGCAUGUAUUUGAAUGGAUUCAUUCUUGAUUUGAUUUGAAUAGAUCUCAGGAAAUGAUCUGGAAAGGCUGUUUGGUCGAGUGGUGAUGUUGGUUUUGUCUCGAGGACACUUGCGACUUGUAAACUUUGCAUUGUAUUGUGCGACAUGGAGUUAGUUGGUCAAUGUUGAGAAGUACAGUGUUUAUUUUGGUAUACCGAACAGACUGGCUGGUUGGAUCCUUCCAUCCUAUUGAGUCUGGAUGUUUGGCUCAAUAGUUAUUCUCCAUGAAUGCUACUUCCUACGUUCCAAAAUAGAUGACUCAACUUUGUAUUAACUUUAGUACAAAGUUGAGUCAUCUAUUAUGGAACGGAGGGGGUACCUCGUUAAUUCGGUUUAUAGUAACUACCUGGUAAUGGUCGGUUGAUUCAUAUAUUGUGUUAUUGGAACUGAUACCUUGGUUGUGCUGGGCGAGCGGCUCGCAGACCAGGAGGUCCAAAGACCGGGACCGGCCCCGGCGGGUCACUUUGACGAGGAGGAGGCCACCAUGUCCUUUCCUCUCUUUUGGUGUUGUUUGCAUCAAGAUUAUCUGACAAUGAAAUUGAAGAUAAUCGAUCCGUGGUGUGUGUUAAUUAUGUGGGAAUUACUACUUUUGAAUCCUGAUGAUGGUUCAUUCUUAUUUGAAUUGAAUCUGCAUAGCUGCUUAUUUGAAUUGAAUCUGCAUAGCUGGCUUUUGGUAGGGCAUCUACAAUGUGGGACGCCUAGACGCGUAGAGGUAGAGAAAAUAAAUAACUUAAAAUUAAAAUCAUAUAAGCGUAUUCUCUGACUGGAAACAACUUUGAUAGUCUACCAUGUACAGGGCAAACUGCUUUUGGCAUCUUUGCUAUAGAUGAUGUCGGGAUUUGGGGGCUCAAAUGCAUAUCAGCUCUGAAAGAAAUCCUAGCGCCUUGGGCUAGAAUCGAGCGUUGAAGAUGGCCUUAUACUCUUAUAUAUUACUCUCCGCUACAAGUGUUUUCCUAUCUGCUCUUCUCUAAUGUAUGUACUGGAGUAAUAUAUGAAAUCCACUAGGGAAGAUGUGUUUUUCUUUUCAUUAUAGCAGGAAGGGGACACAUGUUUUGUUAGGAGAGACAAGGGAGAGGAUUAGGGAUCACCAUGCAGAAAUCUGACGUGAUUCAUUCACAACAUAUAGUAAUUAAUUAAUGGGGAGUGAUACGCGCCGGCGCACCGGCCGAACUGUUCGGCCGGUCCAGCCCAAGCCGUGCGAUGCGGUCAGCCCCAGCCGUUAGAUUUCCGCGCGAGGCCACCACCGAACCAACCAUUGCAGCAAAAAGAACACGUUUUUGUUGCAACCGUUGUACGAACAGCCACAAUGAGAAAAACAGGGGAGCUCGAUCCCCCGCGUCCGCCCAUCCCCGAUCCGCGGCAGUGGCGACCGGAUCCGCCUGUUCUUCGUUGCCCGCAGCCGAAUCACGUCUAGGAGGGGCUCCCCCACCUAUCAAGCCGCCUUGGGAUUGCUUCAAUCAUGUCUGUAUAUACGUCAUGACCUCCUUGCCGCCAUGGAUUUAGGCUCGAGCUCCGCUGCCGUUCAUGGCCGGAGUCCCCUGAGGAGGCAGGGCCCUGGUGGUAGUGGACCGGUGUUGCAACGGUACUACAACCCUGAUGUCUCAUGUGUUUCUCGUUGGCUCCAUGCAUGCAGCAGCGUGUCCCCGUAGUUGCAUCUCCCGGUGACGACGGUCGCAACUCCGGUGAUGACGAACGCAGCUCCGGCGUUCUGCGGCUGCAGGUCGCACCACCUCCGGCGACGAGCUCGUAAGAAAACUGUACUCUCCGUCGGGGUGUCGGUAGCAGCAAAAAGAACGCCCGGUUGUAGCAAAAAAGGGCAACGCUUCCAACAAAUUAAAAGCUCGCCGGCACCACUGUAGCAAAAAUGUUAACCAAUUGUAUCUUCUGUGGCUGCCGGUUGCAGCAAAAAAAUGACACGGUUGUAGCAAGAAAAACAUUGACGUCGACCGGCCGCUGCAUAUGGUGGUAGCAAACCAUGUCGCCGGUGGUAGCAAAUGAAGCCGUCGGUGGUAGCAAAACAAAAAACUAGUUCCAGCAAAAAAGAAUCAGCUACAAAUACAGUAGUUGGUUCCAGCAAAAAAGUUUAUGGGUUGAAGCUUUUUAAAUGUAGGGUUGAAGCUUUCAUGUAAACGGUUGCAGCUUUUUUUAUUUGGGCAAGAAAUCGAUAGCAAAAAAAGGAUGUAGCAAAAAAACACGCUGGUCGUAGCAAAAGAUAACGGCAGUUGCAGCAACAAAAUGUCGUUGUUGCAGCAAAAAACGGAUGCAACUUUCGUCCGUCUGCAGUUGUAGAUAUUUUUCCCACCCCACAGCUUGAGCGGUUGGUGAAAAAAAAAGCUGACCGAGUAAACGUGGUGGGCCAAGGCCACGUGAUGGGCCAAGGAAAAAAAACAACGUGGAUCGGGAGGUGCGGGAGCGCUGGAUCGCUACCCGAUCAAGCGGCGUGCGCGGGACCGGCCGAAACGCUCGGCCGGUGCACCGUCUGGGAACAUUUCCCUUAAUUAAUUAGCCAGGAAAUAAACUGAAACUUCCAACCGAUUGUUAAGGAAGAAACUUAAAAACCUUCCAUCAUUAAUUUUCUUGAAGUUAUCUCUCCUCGGAAUCAGGCAACCUUGACGCACCCCCUUUAAUUUCUACCAGUAAGUACUAUAUCUCUCCGCCUCCUCCUCUUCCUCCAUUGAUCCCUCCCUUCUGUUCCAUCUAUUGGCCACCGCCUCCUCACGCGGAUUGCCCCUCAAUACGACGUCUCUCCGCGUUCUCCGCCCGCUCAUUGCACAAGCCAUCUUCGUAUCUCAGCCUAUAAAUGCCCAGCCAACCCUUUUGAUCAUGCUCGCGCCCCACGUGUUGCUCCUCCUCUUUCUGCCGAUUGACUAGGCGCCGGCCACCACCUCCUAUUUUCUCCUCGAGCCAACACAGAACGAGUACAUCCUGCGGCCGCAAUCCCAAAGGUUGUGCCAUGUCGUUCCGCUCGUGUCCGACUAUCACAGAUGCCGAGAGAUGAUCCGCUGGCGAGCAAGCGGCACCACGAUCUUGUCUAGUCGAGUGGCCAUGCUCUAUCUUCAGUGCCCCGACCAUACUGGUAUGUCCUCUCUCUCUCUCUCUCUCUCUCUCUCUCUCUCUCUCUCUCUCUCCCUCUCUCUCUCUCUAAAACUGAUGAAUUAUCUUGCGAACCUUCUGAUGCAGAUUCCCACAAAAAAAAAA
Molecule: long non-coding RNA, 7300 nt
Filed under: Triticum aestivum (bread wheat)
Lineage: Eukaryota; Viridiplantae; Streptophyta; Magnoliopsida; Poales; Poaceae
Description: long non-coding RNA (TAES_LNC011193)
Source: RNAcentral